RNAcentral lists this ribosomal RNA (232 nucleotides) under uncultured bacterium. Its description in RNAcentral is "partial 16S ribosomal RNA". It matches the Rfam family "Bacterial small subunit ribosomal RNA", at positions 103 to 334 of the family's 1533-position model. The record is from RNAcentral.
CGGGUGAGUAACGCGUGAGGAACCUGCCUCAAAGAGGGGGACAACAGUUGGAAACGACUGCUAAUACCGCAUAAGCCACGGCUCGGCAUCGAGCAGAGGGAAAAGGAGCAAUCCGCUUUGAGAUGGCCUCGCGUCCGAUUAGCUAGUUGGUGAGGUAAUGGCCCACCAAGGCGACGAUCGGUAGCCGGACUGAGAGGUUGAACGGCCACAUUGGGACUGAGACACGGCCCAG